UGCAGUCGAACGAGAAAGGGCUUCGGCCCGAGUACAGUGGCGAACGGGUGAGUAAUGCAUAGGAAUCAACCCUUUAGUGGAGGAUACCCUCGAGAAAUCGAGAUUAAUCCUGCAUACGUCCCUUCGGGGAGAAAGGCGGCCUCUUGCUGUCGCUAAAGGACGAGCCUAUGUACUAUCAGCUUGUUGGUGGGGUAACGGCCUACCAAGGCUAUGACGGUUAGCCGGCCUGAGAGGGUGUACGGCCACACUGGAACUUAGACACGGUCCAGACUCCUACGGGAGGCAGCAGUGGGGAAUAUUGCGCAAUGGGCGAAAGCCUGACGCAGCGACGCCGCGUGGGGGAUGACGGUCUUCGGAUUGUAAACUCCUGUUAGGUGGGAAGAAAUCUACAGCUUUAAUACAGCUGUGGGAUGACGGUACCAUCAAAGAAAGCACUGGCUAAUCUCGUGCCAGCAGCCGCGGUAAUACGAGAGGUGCAAGCGUUAUUCGGAAUGAUUGGGCGUAAAGGGUGUGUAGGCGGCGUACUAAGUCAAUUGUUAAAUCUCUCAGCCUAACUGGGAGACUGCGGUUGAAACUAGUAUGCUAGAGGAUGGAAGAGAGAAGUGGAAUUCUCGGAGUAGCGGUAAAAUGCGUAGAUCUCGAGAGGAACACCGAUGGCGAAGGCAGCUUCUUGGUCCAUUCCUGACGCUGAGGCACGAAAGCGUGGGGAGCAAACAGGAUUAGAUACCCUGGUAGUCCACGCCGUAAACGAUGAUCACUAGACGUUGGUUUUGCUUUGCAAGAUCAGUGUCGUAGCUAACGCGUUAAGUGAUCCGCCUGGGGAGUACGGUCGCAAGAUUAAAACUCAAAGGAAUUGACGGGGGUCCGCACAAGCGGUGGAACAUGUGGUUUAAUUCGAUACUACGCGAGGAACCUUACCUGGACUUGACAUGUACCUGACAGCCGUAGAAAUACGGUUUUCCAAGCGUAAGCUUGGACGAGUACACAGGUGCUGCAUGGCUGUCGUCAGCUCGUGUCGUGAGAUGUUGGGUUAAGUCCUUUAACGAGCGCAACCCCUGCUGUCAGUUGCUACUCUUUUUAAGAGGCACUCUGACAGGACUGCCUGGGAAACCAGGAGGAAGGUGGGGAUGACGUCAAGUCCGCAUGGCCCUUAUGUCCAGGGCGACACACGUGUUACAAUGGGUAGUACAAAGCGUUGCAAUACCGUAAGGUGGAGCUAAACGCACAAAGUUACUCUAAGUUCGGAUUGAGGUCUGCAAUUCGACCUCAUGAAGCUGAAAUCGCUAGUAAUCGCGCAUCAGAACGGCGCGGUGAAUACGUUCUCGGACCUUGUACACACCGCCCGUCACACCACGAAAGUUGUCUGUACCCGAAGUCACUUUAGCUAACCGCAAGGAAGC
RNAcentral lists this ribosomal RNA (1400 nucleotides) under uncultured bacterium. RNAcentral's name for it is "bacterial SSU rRNA". It matches the Rfam family "Bacterial small subunit ribosomal RNA". The record is from RNAcentral.